GUUGGUUAGCUUGCUAACCGGCGGACAGCGGCGGAAGGGAGAGUAACGCGUGGUUAUGUGCCCUGAAGACCGGGAUAGUGUUGGGAAACUGGCAGUAAUACCGGAUAAUAUCUUUGGAUCAAAGGUGUGAUUCCGCUUCAGGAUCGGACCGCGUACUAUUAGCUUGUUGGUGGGGUAAUGGCCCACCAAGGCUCAGAUGGUUACCGGGUGUGAGAGCAUGACCCGGCUCACUGGGACUGAGACACUGCCCAGACAUCUACGGAUGGCUGCAGUCGAGAAUCUUCGGCAAUGGACGAAAGUCUGACCGAGCGACGCCGCGUGCGGGAUGAAGGCCCUCGGGUUGUAAACCGCUGUCAGUUAGGAGGAAAUCUAUGAGGGUACUCUCUCAUAGUUGACCGAUUUUCAGAGGAAGGACGGGCUAAGUUCGUGCCAGCAGCCGCGGUAAGACGAACCGUCCAAACGUUAUUCGGUAUCACUGGGCUUAAAGCGUGCGUAGGCGGCUUGAUAGGUGAGAUGUGAAAGCCCACGGCCCAACCGUGGAAUUGCGUUUCAAACCCUCAAGCUCGAGGAAGAUAGGGGUGAUGGGAACUUAUGGUGGAGCGGUGAAAUGCGUUGAUAUCAUAGGGAACACCGGUGGCGAAAGCGCAUCACUGGAUCUUUUCUGACGCUGAGGCACGAAAGCUAGGGUAGCGAACGGGAUUAGAUACCCCGGUAGUCCUAGCCGUAAACGAUGAGCACUGGGUUGAGGGAACUAUCACAUUCUCUCGGCCGUAGCGAAAGCG
Molecule: ribosomal RNA, 782 nt
Filed under: Planctomycetes bacterium SCGC AAA166-P05
Lineage: Bacteria; Pseudomonadati; Planctomycetota
Description: bacterial SSU rRNA
Rfam family: Bacterial small subunit ribosomal RNA
Source: RNAcentral